Long non-coding RNA from Gasterosteus aculeatus aculeatus (three-spined stickleback), 2390 nucleotides. The record is from Ensembl. Lineage: Eukaryota; Metazoa; Chordata; Actinopteri; Perciformes; Gasterosteidae.
CUGCUCUCACCCACAGACAAUCACCGUCUCUCAAUGGACAACAUCAGCAAGGGAAAUAUCUACAAAGAGAGCGAGAGACAUAAGGACAGAGGGAGAUUUGAGGGAGGAUGGGAGGAGCUGAAAAGAAGGGUAAGAAAGAUCAGCGAGCGGGUCUUUCCGGGCUUAAGGCCGCAGGGAGGACUUGUUAAUUUGGGCGCGAGAGCAGAGUUACAGUAGGAUGUGAGACGCAGGGAGGGAGGACGUACUCGCAGUAAAUGUGCGAAGCAGAGACGGUAUCUGACACGGGGAAUCCACUCAUUUCCGUCCGCCUUUUGCUCAGCGUCUGCUCUCUCCGGCGCGCGGCGCCACCCACAGGAUCUCAGACCCGGAGCUCAAUUACUUGUCUACCCGAAACAGCUACAGUCAGAUGAGAGACGAUUUCUAUGCCUCUCUGUGUAACAUGACAAUAGUCAUAUACAGGGUUGCGAUGCAAAAUGGCGGAUUAUUCUGUGUGUUGGCUAGGUGCUAUUAUGGUAAGCUGAUAUGUGUCUGUUACGGUGUCAUUCUGCUGUUGCAGUAAGCUGGUGUGGAGACAUUAAGAUGGCAGCGACCAGGACUGUUUGACGUUGAAAGCGUCACACGAGCUUUUCAGGCCUUGUGCUUUGGGUUCUUUUCUAAAACCAGUGAGGUUUUAUAUCUUUGUGCACAUUCGUGUGAGUUUUACGGUUUGUAUGCUAAAGAUCUGGACAGAGAGAAUAAGGGGGAUGUGGAGGGAGAGUUUCUUUUUCUUCCCGGUUUUUCACAGACAAAUGAAAGGAGUAUUUGCUUUAAACAGAUUUUCACAUGGAUUUUAUGUCCUCCAAAAAAAAAAGGCUUGAGCUUCCUGCUGCUGCUGAUGACUUGCUGACCGUGUAUUCAUGAGAGUAAUGAAUACGAAAGAAGGUUCAACUACAGCUGUAUUUUUGCAACAAAUGUAUUUUCAAAAAUCCAAUAUUAACUCACAUAUUGCUAUUAUUGAUCUCUGGAUUUGAGAGCUACACCAAGACCCACUAAGCCUCGGGAUCAGUGUCUCUGUUAACCAAGUGUAAGAUGGGGUUGGUGGCUCCAUAAAUUCUGAUUUGUGAAUGUGUCCCCCUGCGGUUUCGACUUCUUUCCUCCCUGUCAGGAGUGAGCCAGGAGCAGAGGAUUAGAGCCUACCUCAGCACUAGAAUGCCUGGUGGCUGCUAUUGCACAGCUCCCACCACCUCCCAAAUACCCCAGCUGGGGGUUUUAGUAUCGAGAGGCAGUGGGCCACACAACUGUCGACUUUGCACUUCAUUUAUGAUAAACUUAAGUCGGCCUUAAUCUCCGCCCGUCGCCGUGGUUUGAACCAGUGUUUGGAACAACAUGUUUAUCUGGCGGGGAAGGCGGGCGGAUUGGGAGCCCAGGGAAAGGCACCCGUUCACUGAGAUAAACCAGAACAUCUCCUCUCCCUCCGCGCGGAAACUCGGUGUGUAGGGACGUAACUGGGAUUUGUGGGUCCUAGAACCUAUUUUUUGAUUCAGCGAUAAGUUCCAGGUUUUGGGUGCGACAGAAGGCAACAAUAUAAAUGUCAAGAAUAUUUUAAUAAACAAACCUGUGUCUAUUGGUAAUUGAGAUUUAAUUAUUGUACAAUCUGUGAACUUCCUCAUACAGAGACGCACAGCACCCAGACAGACUGGUGACAAACUUCAAAUGAGGCUUUCAGCUCAACGCUUCGGUCGAGUGACUCUCAUCGGCCUGCGUGAGCAGCAGGCUCAUCUGUUUUUUUUUAGUGAAAAGUCUCCUAUGAACUCACUACCUGCAGACGGGAUAAAGAUGGCAACAAGUUGCUGAACUUAGAGAAGCAUUUAUCAGCGGAAGAUUCGGUUAUUUCCCUUGGUAGUUAAUCGAGGCGAGACCAGAGGUAGAAGCAGACUGAAACAGUCAUCAGGAAGCCAGAAACACCACUACAAAUUAAUGGUAACGUUGCAAAGUGGUUGCUGCUUGUCUAAGUAAGUAAAUGCGAUUAAUGAUGAUGAAUUAACCACUGCAAUAAAUAAAUACUUCCUCCUUCGUCGGUCUUGGAUUUUGGAGUUGAUCGACUUCCUGUUUAAUCAGAUGUUUUCUAAAAGCUUUUCUUUAUCUACGGUUGUACACCGAGAUAACGCUCUCUGGUAAUAUCACCGUAUUUUAUUCACCGCUGGUUCCACUGCCUCCAAGUGGCUAAUAAUAAUCUAAUAUUACUUCAAACAGCCCGAUAAACCUUAGAACAAUAAGGAUGACGGACAGGCAAGCAAAUAAAUCAAAAACAACUCAUGACUCACCAGUGACUUGAGAAUAAUGUGUUUCAAAAUACAAGGUUACUGGAACUAGUUCUCUAUUUAAUUGUUGUGUGUGUGUGUGUGUGUGUG